This 512-nucleotide non-coding RNA is filed under the name Pasteurella felis. RNAcentral describes it as "Haemophilus felis Bacterial large subunit ribosomal RNA". It matches the Rfam family "Bacterial large subunit ribosomal RNA", at positions 1300 to 1794 of the family's 2925-position model. Lineage: Bacteria; Pseudomonadati; Pseudomonadota; Gammaproteobacteria; Pasteurellales; Pasteurellaceae. The record is from Rfam by way of RNAcentral.
ACAUAAGUAACGAUAAAACGAGUGAAAAACGCGUUCGCCGGAAGACCAAGGGUUCCUGUCCAACGUUAAUCGGGGCAGGGUGAGUCGGCCCCUAAGGCGAGGCUGAAAAGCGUAGUCGAUGGGAAACGGGUUAAUAUUCCCGUACUUGGUAUAAUUGCGAUGUGGGGACGGAGAAGGUUAGGUAAGCGACCUGUUGGAUAUGGUCGUUUAAGCUGGUAGUUGGAAAGAGUAGGCAAAUCCGCUCUUUCAUUCAACAACGAGACGUGACGACGAGGCUCUACGGAGCUGAAGUUACCGAUACCACGCUUCCAGGAAAAGCCACUAAGCGAAAGACUAUACUAAACCGUACUGAAAACCGACACAGGUGGUCAGGUAGAGAAUACUCAGGCGCUUGAGAGAACUCGGGUGAAGGAACUAGGCAAAAUAGCACCGUAACUUCGGGAGAAGGUGCGCUGGCGUAGGUUGUAGGAGUUUACCUCCGAAGGCUGAACCAGUCGAAGAUACCAGCUGGC